Molecule: ribosomal RNA, 2035 nt
Filed under: Campylobacter jejuni
Lineage: Bacteria; Pseudomonadati; Campylobacterota; Epsilonproteobacteria; Campylobacterales; Campylobacteraceae
Description: partial 23S ribosomal RNA
Rfam family: Bacterial large subunit ribosomal RNA
Source: RNAcentral
AGGUAAGCUACUAAGAGCGAAUGGUGGAUGCCUUGACUGGUAAAGGCGAUGAAGGACGUACUAGACUGCGAUAAGCUACGGGGAGCUGUCAAGAAGCUUUGAUCCGUAGAUUUCCGAAUGGGGCAACCCAAUGUAUAGAGAUAUACAUUACCUAUAUAGGAGCGAACGAGGGGAAUUGAAACAUCUUAGUACCCUCAGGAAAAGAAAUCAAUAGAGAUUGCGUCAGUAGCGGCGAGCGAAAGCGCAAGAGGGCAAACCCAGUGCUUGCACUGGGGGUUGUAGGACUGCAAUGUGCAAGAGGUAAGUUUAGCAGAACAUUCUGGAAAGUAUAACCAUAGAGGGUGAUAGUCCCGUAUGCGAAAAACAAACCUUAGCUAGCAGUAUCCUGAGUAGGGCGGGACACGAGGAAUCCUGUCUGAAUCCGGGUCGACCACGAUCCAACCCUAAAUACUAAUACCAGAUCGAUAGUGCACAAGUACCGUGAGGGAAAGGUGAAAAGAACUGAGGUGAUCAGAGUGAAAUAGAACCUGAAACCAUUUGCUUACAAUCAUUCAGAGCCCUAUGUAGCAAUACAGGGUGAUGGACUGCCUUUUGCAUAAUGAGCCUGCGAGUUGUGGUGUCUGGCAAGGUUAAGCAAACGCGAAGCCGUAGCGAAAGCGAGUCUGAAUAGGGCGCUUAGUCAGAUGCUGCAGACCCGAAACGAAGUGAUCUAUCCAUGAGCAAGUUGAAGCUAGUGUAAGAACUAGUGGAGGACUGAACCCAUAGGCGUUGAAAAGCCCCGGGAUGACUUGUGGAUAGGGGUGAAAGGCCAAUCAAACUUCGUGAUAGCUGGUUCUCUCCGAAAUAUAUUUAGGUAUAGCGUUGUGUCGUAAUAUAAGGGGGUAGAGCACUGAAUGGGCUAGGGCAUACACCAAUGUACCAAACCCUAUCAAACUCCGAAUACCUUAUAUGUAAUCACAGCAGUCAGGCGGCGAGUGAUAAAAUCCGUCGUCAAGAGGGAAACAACCCAGACUACCAGCUAAGGUCCCUAAGUCUUACUUAAGUGGAAAACGAUGUGAAGUUACUUAAACAACCAGGAGGUUGGCUUAGAAGCAGCCAUCCUUUAAAGAAAGCGUAAUAGCUCACUGGUCUAGUGAUUUUGCGCGGAAAAUAUAACGGGGCUAAAGUAAGUACCGAAGCUGUAGACUUAGUUUACUAAGUGGUAGGAGAGCGUUCUAUUUGCGUCGAAGGUAUACCGGUAAGGAGUGCUGGAGCGAAUAGAAGUGAGCAUGCAGGCAUGAGUAGCGAUAAUUAAUGUGAGAAUCAUUAACGCCGUAAACCCAAGGUUUCCUACGCGAUGCUCGUCAUCGUAGGGUUAGUCGGGUCCUAAGUCGAGUCCGAAAGGGGUAGACGAUGGCAAAUUGGUUAAUAUUCCAAUACCAACAUUAGUGUGCGAUGGAAGGACGCUUAGGGCUAAGGGGGCUAGCGGAUGGAAGUGCUAGUCUAAGGUCGUAGGAGGUUAUACAGGCAAAUCCGUAUAACAAUACUCCGAGAACUGAAAGGCUUUUUGAAGUCUUCGGAUGGAUAGAAGAACCCCUGAUGCCGUCGAGCCAAGAAAAGUUUCUAAGUUUAGCUAAUGUUGCCCGUACCGUAAACCGACACAGGUGGGUGGGAUGAGUAUUCUAAGGCGCGUGGAAGAACUCUCUUUAAGGAACUCUGCAAAAUAGCACCGUAUCUUCGGUAUAAGGUGUGGUUAGCUUUGUAUUAGGAUUUACUCCGAAAGCAAGGAAACUUACAACAAAGAGUCCCUCCCGACUGUUUACCAAAAACACAGCACUCUGCUAACUCGUAAGAGGAUGUAUAGGGUGUGACGCCUGCCCGGUGCUCGAAGGUUAAUUGAUGGGGUUAGCAUUAGCGAAGCUCUUGAUCGAAGCCCGAGUAAACGGCGGCCGUAACUAUAACGGUCCUAAGGUAGCGAAAUUCCUUGUCGGUUAAAUACCGACCUGCAUGAAUGGCGUAACGAGAUGGGAGCUGUCUCAAAGAGGGAUCCAGUGAA